This 443-nucleotide ribosomal RNA is filed under the name uncultured bacterium. Its description in RNAcentral is "partial 16S ribosomal RNA". It matches the Rfam family "Bacterial small subunit ribosomal RNA", at positions 338 to 795 of the family's 1533-position model. The record is from RNAcentral.
CCUACGGGAGGCAGCAGUGGGGAAUAUUGGACAAUGGGGGGAACCCUGAUCCAGCGACGCCGCGUGAGUGAAGAAGUAUUUCGGUAUGUAAAGCUCUAUCAGCAGGGAAGAAAGAAAUGACGGUACCUUACUAAGAAGCCCCGGCUAACUACGUGCCAGCAGCCGCGGUAAUACGUAGGGGGCAAGCGUUAUCCGGAUUUACUGGGUGUAAAGGGAGCGUAGACGGCGAUGCAAGUCUGAAGUGAAAGGCGGGGGCCCAACCCCCGGACUGCUUUGGAAACUGUAUGGCUGGAGUGCAGGAGAGGUAAGUGGAAUUCCUAGUGUAGCGGUGAAAUGCGUAGAUAUUAGGAGGAACACCGGUGGCGAAGGCGGCCUGCUGGACUGCAACUGACGUUGAGGCCCGAAAGCGUGGGGAGCAAACAGGAUUAGAUACCCCAGUAGUC